RNAcentral lists this ribosomal RNA (253 nucleotides) under uncultured bacterium. RNAcentral describes it as "partial 16S ribosomal RNA". It matches the Rfam family "Bacterial small subunit ribosomal RNA", at positions 524 to 776 of the family's 1533-position model. The record is from RNAcentral.
UACAGAGGUCCCAAGCGUUGUUCGGAUUCAUUGGGCGUAAAGGGUGCGUAGGUGGCGUCGUAAGUCAGGUGUGAAAUCUCGGGGCUCAACCCCGAAACUGCACUUGGUACUGCCUCGCUUGAGUACUGGAGAGGAGACUGGAAUUUACGGUGUAGCAGUGAAAUGCGUAGAUAUCGUAAGGAAGACCAGUGGCGAAGGCGAGUCUCUGGACAGUUACUGACGCUGAGGCACGAAGGCCAGGGGAGCAAACGGG